UCGCUCGGCCUUACGUGAGGACGCACUACGGAGGCCGAGAAACAAAUGUGGGCGCGGGCUGUACGGCUGGGCCUUCGCGGCCCUGGGGGUUGGCUCCGGGGCUUCACCUCCAAGGCGGAUCCUCAGGGAAGUGGCCGGAUCACGGCCGACGUGAUCGAGCACUUGGAGCGCCUAGCGCUUGUGGACUUCGGCAGCCGGGAGGCCGUGGCGCGGCUGGAGAAGGCCAUCACCUUUGCCGACCGUCUCCGCGCGGUGGACACCGACGGGGUGGAGCCCAUGGAGUCAGUACUGGAGGACAGAUGUCUAUACUUGAGAUCUGACAAUGUGGUAGAAGGCAACUGUGCUGAAGAACUACUACAAAAUGCCCAUCGAGUUGUGGAGGAGUAUUUUGUGGCUCCCCCAGACAGGUGGGUUCUCAGAGCUGCUGUACACUCUGGACAUUUGGGAAUGCGACUAGUCUAAGCACUCAGGUAGAUUGGCUUUCCAAGUGCCAAGUUCAAGUUCAGAAGGUCUCCUCAGAGGAGAACCAUUCUAAGCAGCCUCCAGAGACAAACAUCAGCUCAGCUCUCCAGCUCAGGGGUUACUUCUUGAUCAAGAUCAAGCAGUUAAAGGAAAUCUCUACUUCAAGCAAGGAUGGGAAAGAAAGCUAAAAAAUUUGUAACAUCUCUUUGCCAAAGCUGGAUGAACAAGAUCCCUUUCCACACAGCUAAGUAGCUGUUCUGGGAAAGGGUACCUGUGAAUACACAGAAGCCCAUCCAACGAUAGUAUUUUACUGUGAACAUUAACAUCCCUACUUCCUUCAGUCACCUGAAAAAAAACUGACGGUUAAGUAUUUUUUACUAACUAACUCUACUGAAGACAGAACUGGGAAAGAUCCAGCCAAAGCAAGGCAAUGAGUUCCUGAUGGUAAUGGAAGUAAAAGGUAUUGUCAGUUUCCAAGGAAAUAGAUCAAGUAUUUACUCAUAGACAAUUCAGUCUAUAAGACACUAUUCCCCCUUAUCUCCCAAAAUGACUGUCUAAAACUGCACUUAAGUGUAUUUUUUUUUUUUGUAACUAUUAGACAUUGUGUCUAAUCAGUAUAUUCACAGCCCAGGUUGUCCUUUUUAGUUGCUCUUUCUGGCAACUCAAGCAGCCUUUUGUCUUUACUAAACACACUCAGAGUUAUUCCUGGGUACCCACUUUGUUCCAGGCAGAGGGCUAACUUUUUCCUAAAAUCUGAAGGGUAUUGAAAGUAGACUUUACAGCUUGGGAACUUCUAACCUAGAACCAUCCACCAUGCCACAAAGUGAAUAUAUGCAAAAGGGAUACUGUAGCCACACCUAUAGCUUUUCUGAAAAGAACUGUAAAAAUAACCCUAAGACAGCUAACAAUACUGUAUUGUAUACUAAAAAUUUGCCAAGAGGGUAGAUCUUAAAUGUUCUUACCACAUAUAAAUAUUAAAAGAGGGAAUUUUGAGAAGUGA
Manis pentadactyla (Chinese pangolin) is the source of this 1462-nucleotide RNA transcript. It is a transcript of the gene named glutamyl-tRNA amidotransferase subunit C, with no coding region annotated. The transcript has 5 exons. NCBI's taxonomy places the organism in Eukaryota, Metazoa, Chordata, Mammalia, Pholidota, Manidae. The record is from RefSeq and is a predicted model, not a curated record.